UACGAAGGGUGCAAGCGUUACUCGGAAUUACUGGGCGUAAAGCGUGCGUAGGUGGUUUGUUAAGUCUGAUGUGAAAGCCCUGGGCUCAACCUGGGGAUUGCAUUGGAUACUGGCAGGCUAGAGUGCGGUAGAGGAUGGCGGAAUUCCCGGUGUAGCAGUGAAAUGCGUAGAGAUCGUAAGGAAGACCAGUGGCGAAGGCGGGUCUCUGGACAGUUCCUGACACUGAGGCACGAAGGCCAGGGGAGCAAACGGG
This 253-nucleotide ribosomal RNA is filed under the name uncultured bacterium. RNAcentral describes it as "partial 16S ribosomal RNA". It matches the Rfam family "Bacterial small subunit ribosomal RNA", at positions 524 to 776 of the family's 1533-position model. The record is from RNAcentral.